Pongo pygmaeus (Bornean orangutan) is the source of this 730-nucleotide long non-coding RNA. RefSeq lists it as uncharacterized. Lineage: Eukaryota; Metazoa; Chordata; Mammalia; Primates; Hominidae. The transcript has 4 exons. The record is from RefSeq and is a predicted model, not a curated record.
AGUGCUGAGAUUACAGACAUGAGCCACCACACAGCCAGCCAGGUGCCUGGAGCAAAAAUGUGUCCAGAAUUGGUGGGCUGCUGGUCUCGCUGACUUCAAGAAUGAAGCCGCAGACCCUCGCGACAGAGAAGUUCUCUAGGUCCCCACCCAACUCAAAAGCCCAGCCAGCUUCACCUCUCAAUGGAAGUGGCCGCCAGGACUUUGAGGCACCUAGCCCAGGCAUUCCAGCAACACAGAGGGAGCUCCUACCUGGAUCAAGCCCAGCAGGCACCGAGUGUGGGACCCGCCGAUCCCGUGCCCACCCGGAACCCACACUGGCUGGCGAGCGCGCACACAGCCCCGGCUCCCGCCCUCGCCUCUGCCUCCACACCUCCCCGCCAGCAGAGGGAGCUGGCUCCGGCCUCGGCCAGCCCCAGAGAGGGGCCCCCACAGCGCAGCGGCGGGCUGAAGGGCACCUCGAGUGCGGCCAGAGCGGACGCCUAGGCCGAGGAGGCACCCAGAGGACAAGGGGAGUCAGAGGCAGAAGAGAAGGUGCCGUGAUGACAGAAGCAGAGAUCUGAGUGACUCACUUUGAAGAUGGAGGAAGAGGUCACAGGCCAAGUGAUACAGAUGCCAGGAGAAGCUGAAAACAGGAGGAAAUAGAUUCUUCCUUCAGAGCUUCUGGAAAAGAUCAGUCUUGCUGAUACCUUGACUUUAGCCCAGUGAAACUGAUUUUGAACUUUUGACUUCC